UGAGGAAGUAAAAGUCGUAACAAGGUCUCCGUAGGUGAACCUGCGGAGGGAUCAUUACCGAGUGAGGGCUUCGGCCCGACCUCCAACCCCAUGUGAACCAACUUGUUGCCUCGGGGGCGACCCUGCCGUUCGCGGCGCGGCGCCCCCGCGGACCUUCAAACACUGCAUUUUAUACGUCGGAGUCUCAAGUAAAUUGAACAAAACUUUCAACAACGGAUCUCUUGGUACUGGCAUCGAUGAAGAACGCAGCGAAAUGCGAUAAGUAAUGUGAAUUGCAGAAUUCAGUGAAUCAUCGAAUCUUUGAACGCACAUUGCGCCCCCUGGUAUUCCGGGGGGCAUGCCUGUUCGAGCGUCAUUUCACCACUCAAGCCUCGCUUGGUAUUGGGCGUCGCGGGUCUCCGCGCGCCUCAAAGUCUCCGGCUGAGCUGUCCGUCUCCUAGCGUUGUGAUACAUAUUCGCUAUGGGUGUCGGGUGGCCGCGGCCGUUAAACUUUUCAAAGGUUGACCUCGGAUCAGGUAGGGAUACCCGCUGAACUUAAGCAUAUC
This 545-nucleotide ribosomal RNA is filed under the name Mycosphaerella sp. 5 ICMP 18846. RNAcentral describes it as "eukaryotic LSU rRNA". The stretch from base 202 to 355 matches the Rfam family "5.8S ribosomal RNA". Lineage: Eukaryota; Fungi; Ascomycota; Dothideomycetes; Mycosphaerellales; Mycosphaerellaceae. The record is from RNAcentral.